GUCUCUUAGAAUAAAUUAAGAGUCUAACCUGCCCAGUGAUUUAUUUUUAACGGCCGCGGUACCCUGACCGUGCAAAGGUAGCAUAAUCAUUUGCCUUUUAAUUGAAGGCUAGUAUGAAUGGUUUGACGUAAGUAAAGCUGUCUCGCAUAUAAUCAAUAGAAAUUAAUCUAAAGGUGCAAAAGCCUUUAUGCUCUAGAAAGACGAGAAGACCCUGUUGAGCUUUAGUUUAAUUAAGUACCUUUUUAUAUUUAUAUAAUUUAUCACUUAAGUAAAACUUUAAUUGGGGCGAUUAAGGAACAUUCAUUAGCUUCCUACUAAAAGGCUUAUAUAAACAAAUUAUAUCGAUCCAGCAAUGCUGAUCAAUGGAUCUAGUUACCACAGGGAUAACAGCAUAAUUCUUUUUAAGAGCCCAUAUCGAAAAAAGAGAUUGUGACCUCGAUGUUGGACUAGGGUGACAGAAAGGUGCAGCCGCUUUUCUGCUUGGUCUGUUCGACCA
This 496-nucleotide ribosomal RNA is filed under the name Zacalantica tenuisculpta. RNAcentral describes it as "partial 16S ribosomal RNA". It matches the Rfam family "Bacterial large subunit ribosomal RNA", at positions 1819 to 2587 of the family's 2925-position model. The record is from RNAcentral. Lineage: Eukaryota; Metazoa; Mollusca; Gastropoda; Cycloneritida; Phenacolepadidae.